GGGUGAGUAAUACAUCGGAACGUGUCCGUUUGUGGGGGACAACCGUCCGAAAGGAUGGCUAAUACCGCAUAAGACUUGAGGGUGAAAGCCGGGGACCGCAAGGCCCGGCGCAGACGGAGCGGCCGAUGAUUGAUUAGCUAGUUGGGGAGGUAAAGGCUCACCAAGGCGACGAUCAAUAGCUGGUCUGAGAGGACGACCAGCCACACUGGAACUGAGACACGGUCCAGACUCCUACGGGAGGCAGCAGUGGGGAAUUUUGGACAAUGGGGGCAACCCUGAUCCAGCCAUGUCGCGUGCGGGAAGAAGGCCUUCGGGUUGUAAACCGCUUUUGUCAGGGACGAAAAGCUCCGGGGUAAUAUGCCGGAGUGCUGACGGUACCUGAAGAAUAAGCACCGGCUAACUACGUGCCAGCAGCCGCGGUAAUACGUAGGGUGCGAGCGUUAAUCGGAAUUACUGGGCGUAAAGCGUGCGCAGGCGGUUGGGUAAGACAGAUGUGAAAUCCCCGGGCUUAACCUGGGAACUGCAUUUGUGACUGUCCGACUGGAGUACGUCAGAGGGGGGUGGAAUUCCACGUGUAGCAGUGAAAUGCGUAGAUAUGUGGAAGAACACCGAUGGCGAAGGCAGCCCCCUGGGACGCAACUGACGCUCAUGCACGAAAGCGUGGGGAGCAAACAGGAUUAGAUACCCUGGUAGUCCACGCCCUAAACGAUGUCUGCUGGUUGUUGGGAAUUU
Molecule: ribosomal RNA, 732 nt
Filed under: uncultured bacterium
Lineage: Bacteria
Description: bacterial SSU rRNA
Rfam family: Bacterial small subunit ribosomal RNA
Source: RNAcentral